This 107-nucleotide small nuclear RNA is filed under the name Colobus angolensis palliatus. Lineage: Eukaryota; Metazoa; Chordata; Mammalia; Primates; Cercopithecidae. The record is from RNAcentral.
GUGCUUGCUCUGGCAGCACAUACACUAAAAUUGGAGUGAUACAGAGAAGGUUAGCAUGGCCUCUGCACAAGGAUAAUACACAAAUUCAUGAAGCGUUCCAUAUUUUU